This is an RNA transcript of Callithrix jacchus (white-tufted-ear marmoset), 4543 nucleotides long. It is a transcript of the gene named lamin B receptor, with no coding region annotated. Lineage: Eukaryota; Metazoa; Chordata; Mammalia; Primates; Cebidae. The record is from RefSeq and is a predicted model, not a curated record.
GGCCGGGCCUGGCAGGCGCGCGCCCGGUUUACGGGACCGCGGGGGCGCGAGAGCGCGACCAGGUAGCGUCGCGCACGGGAACUGCGGCCGCCUGUUUUCCCUGAACCGUCGGUGUUCCCGCAGGAGCUUGGCGCAGGCUAAUUUUAGAAAAUGCCAAGUAGGAAAUUUGCCGAUGGUGAAGUGGUAAGAGGCCGAUGGCCUGGGAGUUCUCUGUAUUAUGAAGUAGAAAUUCUGAGCCACGACAGCACCUCCCAGCUUUACACUGUAAAGUAUAAAGAUGGAACAGAACUUGAAUUGAAAGAGAAUGAUAUUAAGCCUUUAACUUCCUUUAGGCAAAGGAAAAGUGGCUCAACUUCCAGUUCCCCUUCCAGACGCCGAGGGAAUAGAUCAAGGUCACGCUCCCGAUCCCCUGGUCGUCGACCACCUAAAGAUGCCCGCCGAUCUGCUUCUGCUUCCCACCAGGCUGACAUUAAGGAAGCAAGGAGGGAAGUGGAAGUUAAAUUGACUCCGCUGGUUCUGAAGCCAUUUGGAAAUAGCAUCAGCAGAUAUAAUGGGGAGCCCGAGCACAUUGAGAGGAAUGACGUACCUCAUAAAAAUACACAGGAAAAAUUCAAUUUGUUACAAGAAAGCAGUUACAUAUCUACACAGUAUAGCCUUCGUCCAAGAAGAGAAGAGAUCAGAUUAAAAGAAAUGGAUUCUAAGGAAGAAAAAUUUGUUACAAAAGAACUGGCAGUGAGAACCUUUGAAGUGACCCCUAUCCGAGCAAAGGACUUGGAGUUUGGAGGAGUACCUGGUGUGCUUCUCAUCAUGUUUGGCCUGCCUGUAUUCCUCUUCCUGUUGCUGUUGAUGUGUAAACAAAAAGAUCCCAGUCUUCUGAAUUUCCCUCCUCCUUUGCCAGCUUUAUAUGAGUUAUGGGAAACCAGAGUAUUUGGGGUCUGCCUCCUGUGGUUUCUGAUUCAAGCCCUCUUCUACCUACUACCAAUUGGAAAGGUUGUAGAAGGAACGCCUCUUAUUGAUGGAAGAAGACUCAAGUAUAGAUUAAAUGGAUUCUAUGCUUUUAUCCUGACAUCUGCAAUCAUCGGAACAUGUCUCUUCCAGGGCGUAGAGUUUCAUUAUGUGUACAGACAUUUUCUUCAGUUUACACUUGCAGCCACUGUGUUUUGUGUGGUCUUGAGUGUGUAUCUCUACAUGCGCUCUUUGAAAGUGCCCCGGAAGGACCUGUCGCCUGCUAGCUCUGGAAAUGCUGUCUAUGAUUUCUUCAUUGGCCGUGAAUUAAACCCUCGAAUUGGUACUUUUGAUCUCAAAUACUUUUGUGAAUUGCGCCCCGGAUUGAUCGGAUGGGUGGUUAUUAACUUGGUGAUGCUUUUGGCUGAAAUGAAAAUACAGAGCCGCGCUGUUCCAUCCUUGGCCAUGAUUUUGGUUAACAGUUUCCAGCUUCUCUAUGUGGUGGAUGCUCUCUGGAACGAGGAAGCAGUGUUGACGACCAUGGACAUCAUCCACGAUGGAUUUGGAUUCAUGCUGGCUUUUGGAGACUUAGUGUGGGUUCCAUUUAUUUACAGCUUCCAAGCCUUUUACUUAGUCAGUCAUCCAAAUGAAGUAUCUUGGCCAAUGGCUUCUCUAAUGAUUGUUCUGAAACUUUGUGGUUAUGUAAUCUUCCGAGGUGCAAAUUCUCAGAAAAAUGCAUUCCGGAAAAAUCCCAGUGAUCCAAAGCUUGCACAUUUAAAAACCAUUCAUACUUCAACGGGAAAAAAUCUUCUAGUUUCUGGAUGGUGGGGCUUUGUUCGACACCCCAAUUACUUGGGUGAUCUCAUCAUGGCCCUGGCGUGGUCCCUCCCAUGUGGUUUUAAUCACAUUCUGCCUUAUUUCUACGUGGUUUAUUUCACCAUGUUGCUUGUCCACCGAGAAGCUCGUGACGAGUACCAGUGAUCAUCUGUUUGGGACCCCUGGACAACUGCUGUUUAUUUCAAGACUCAGAAUGUUGGAGCUGAAAGAGCAAUGCAACCCGCAUUGUGAUCCAGUGACUAGGAGGUUUCUUCAUUGGUAAGUACACUGAUAUUAAAAAGUUUGUUGGCAAACUAGUAGUUGCCAAAAUUCUUGACCUCUCAGGUGUCUGGUAAACUGGGCAUUCAAAAGUAUAGAGUUUUGAAUCUGUCAUCUGGCUAGAAGCAUUUAGUGUUUUGGUAGAAAUCUUAAAAAAAAAAAUCCAGUAGUCAAAUUGCAUAGUUGAAGUGAAUCAGUGGCUCACAUUUUCUAUAUGCUAGGCUUGGGCAAUUUGUUAUGAAUUAGAUACAGUAGAAGUUAAAUGAUUAAUGUAACAGCAUGUGGAAAUUAUACGUGGAUAAUAUAAAGAGUAAUUAUUAUGGCUUUACAGUACAUAUUCUUCAGAACAUGGGAUGUAAGUAGGCAUCUACUUUAAAUUUUAGUAAUAUUUUGGGUGAUCUAAAAUCUUUGUUGUUUGAGUAUAUUAUCACAUCUCCCUUGUCAAGUUGUAGGGAAUGGGAAUAAGAGUGCUUUGUAUAUUACUGAGGGUGGUUUGUAUAUUACUGAGCUCAGGUUUAGGACUUCAUAGUAACAGCAGGGUGGUUACCUUUGUUGGCAAAAAGUAUAUGUCGGGAAAAUCACAGCACAUCUCCAGAGGCAGCAAGUCUUCCAGUAUUUUUUGUUCGUGAUUCCAUCUUGCCCCCUCAAUGAAUAAACUGAAAAUGUAAACUCCAGUGUGAGAGGAGUCUAAGCCCUACGAUGGAAGAGAGGUGGUGUCAGGGGUCCCCAGGAGAAGCAGCGACCAACUGGAGACUCCAUCUGGAGCCGAGACGACCCAUCCGGAGGGGCUUCUCCUGCCCAAGGCAUGUUGCCCAAAGUUUUAAGGUGAAUACUUAAUACUUUUUUCCCUAUUCUGAGUGCUUUAAAAAGUGUAGGCUUUCUAUCUAUAGAAUCAAUCUGAACUGAAAUACAUGUAUUUUUUUCAUCAUGCCCCUCCUCAACAUGAAGACAAAUACUUUCAAACACAAUAAAGAUGCAAAUUUCUACAACUGUAAUCUUGUAACUGAGCUUUCUAGGAGAGAGCGAGAACAGUUACAAAAGGAGACAGAGUACACUGUGCUCAAAUGUUGUCACUUACCUCUGCCGUAGUGGCCACAGCUAUCGUUUUAGGCUCUAGAAAUUUAAAAAAGGCUGAGAAGGGUUUUACAUAUCUAUAUCUAUACAGACACAUACACACAUUAUCUGUCUGUCUAUCAUCUAUCAUCCAUCCAUCCAUCCAUCCAUCCAUCCAUCCAUCCGUGAGAGAGAGGGUGAGUGAGGGAGACUUCAUCUGUCGUCCAGGCUGGAGUGCAGUGGUGUGAUCUUGGCUCUCUGCUUCCUGGGUUACAGCAAUUCUUCUUCCUAAGCCACCUGAGUAACUGGGAUUACAGACAUGCGCCACCAUGCCUGCCUAAUUUUUUGUAUUUUUAGUAGAGAUGGGGUUUCAUCAUGUUGGGCAGCUGGUCUUGAAUUCCUGACCUCAAGUGAUCUGUUCCCUUCGGCCUCCCAAAGUGCUGGGCUUACAGGUAUGAGCCACCACACCUGGCCAGGUUCCAUAUAUUUUUGAAUGAUACAGGUUAAAUAGAUGAUUAAAUUUUAAUGGCAGAAGGUUAAGUAAAAUGAGUUUCUGAUGAGAUCUGUGAAGUAGAAAAUUUAGUUACCUGCAGCUCCCAUUCCAGGUGACUCCAGGUGUACCUGAGGCAAGUCUGUGAAAUCAAUGUCUCCUGCAGGGGUGCUGUAGGGAUGCCCAGCCUGGAGGAAAUGGCAGCCAAGUACCAGGCCACCCGGGGCAAGUCUCUGAAGAGGAGGUAUGGGCACUGCUGUCCUGAGCUUCCCCUCGCAGUCUGGGCUAGCUUGUUGACAAGGGCAGCGGUGUGGAACAGCCUGUGCUGUGCGUGGUGGCACCUUCUGUGCUGUUCACUCUGUGGAAUGUGACUACCUGGAGGUGUAAGGUGAACUCAUAUUAAGCACUUCCUAUUUAGGCUUACUCUAUAAAAGACUUUUAUGGGAAUUGGUUUGUAUAAUAUUUUUACUUCUCUUCCUCUUAACUUACAUAAAUGCAAGGUUUCCUGCACUGCAUUUGUUCUAGUGUUGUCUUUUCCUGACAAUCUUAGAAGAAGUUAAUCUAAUGCAUUUGACAGUGUGGCAUCCAUUUAUACUUGUAUAACUUGGUCAUAGCAUACAUGGGUUUUUCCUCUGAAAAACCUAAAUUGUAGGUAAUUUUUAAACAGCCCCUUUUGGAAUGAUUUGACUCAAAGAGCCACUCAGAACAAAUGGAAGUAAUAUUAAUUCAACUACGUGGAAGCUGCUUCUUUGUAUAAAGCAGAAAUAACUGAGAGCAUCAUCUCAGUUAUUUCUGCUUUAUACAGAUUAGACAGAGUCAAAAAGCAAAGUUAGGCGGGCAGUCCAUACCCUUGCUCUCCCUCUGUGAGUCAUAAGGCCUUUGUGCACCUCAGCCUGGUCAGCAAGAGUAAAACUCUCUCUCUCAAAAAAAAAAAAAAAAAAAAAGGGGGGCACUUUACCA